Gallus gallus (chicken) is the source of this 1723-nucleotide long non-coding RNA. Lineage: Eukaryota; Metazoa; Chordata; Aves; Galliformes; Phasianidae. The record is from Ensembl.
CGGCGCGGCACGGCACGGCCCGAGGGCUCGGAGAGCGCGGAGAGGACGGCACCGCGCUCCUGGAACCUAUUUUGACUUUUUGUCUCCGGAAAGCUAUUCAGCGGAGAGGCUGGCUGAUUAAUUGAUUUUAAUGAAGGUCUCCCUAGGCUCAAAUUCACAGACAGCUUUAUUUAAAAUUAAAAGGAAAAAAAAAAGUGAGCGUGCUUGUCAGGAAAGCUCUUCUUUUUUUUUUUUCUGCCCCACUCCAGUUCUAUUAUCAUCUUUAUCUAUAUUUAUACAGUCCUACAAUGUUACUAAUGAUUUGGAGCAAAAGUGUGACUAAAAAAAAACCCCUCAGAAUCUGCACAGAGCUCUGUUAAUUGUACAGACAUAAAUAAUUGCACUGAUCCCGCUGACGGUUAACAGCCUCAGACUGUUCUCAGCACUAUAAAAUUAAGCGUGUGCAUAAGAAUAGAACCCACAUCUGUUUUGUUAACUGUAUUGCAGGUGGGGAUGUUCCUGACGUUGCUGCAGGAGCUGGAGAGCAGCUGAGCCUGAAAAUGCAGUAGGAUGAUCAGUGGAUGGAAAAUGAGCAUUUGCCCACUUCCACACAACAACAACAAAGUGUGCAUUACAUCUCUAGAAGUAGAUAGUGAACAGGAGUAAGAGGACCAAUGUCUCUGGAAUGCUAAAAGGGAACGUUAAAAUGGUGCUGCACAAAAAAUCCAAACUGAAGAAACUCUUGGGUCAGUAAUAAAAUAUUAAUAAAAAAUUAAAAGGAAUGGGGAGAAAAUGUGUGAAGAGUUAUGUGAGAGAAACAUGGAAGAGGAGAGGUGAUCAAGAAUAGGGAUCUAGUAUCUCCUCAAAGAGUAUUUGUUGUCUGCUCUAUUAGGUAAGGGAUACAACUCCAUAUCAAAGAAGAUGUGAGUUCUCAUUGCCAAGAAGGCCAAAGGAUUCCCCCUUUUCCUUCACUGGAGUGCAUAGUUGGGAAGGAUUUAGAAUUCCUCCAUUAUGUUUCAUGUGUUUUAUGUCAUAAUUAUUAGGUUAAAAAAAAAAUAAAACUUGGACAUUUCCAUAAAGUAUACCCUUUUCUUCAUUUGCAUAACAAUGUAUAAGGGUUUGAAGUUGUGAGAUGCUUAAUUACUUUGAAAUCCCACUCAUUGAAUGUGUGUUCUGACUUGUGUAUACCCACUAUCUGCAGUGUAAUUUUAAGUAUACAGUGCUUUGCAUAAUUUCAUCUGUAAACAGCUGCAGAAGCUCCUGCUUUACAUAAACAACAACUGCUCAUCAUAGUCUCAGAAAGUCAUGGGUCUGUUUUAUAAACAAACAAACAAAAAACGCCUAUGCAUAAUGCAGUAUUUGGAAACAAACUUGGACAUUACUCACUCUUCAGAGCCUCUCCUGGUUUUGUUACCUCACACAGAAGAAGCUGACAUGCCUCUCCAUUAGAUGUCAAGAGCUCUUAAUGAAAGAAUUGAAAUAAAAGAUUUAAAUUUGCCUUAUUUCAACCUAAACAAUUUACUGACUGUCUAAUAAUGACUUUUUCAAACUACCGUAUGUGAAAGAAGCAGCAAUAUUUAGUAGAUAUAGAGGUAUUCAGUCUUCUAGAAGGAAAAAUGGCAUAUCUCAAUAGCCCUACUCAUUUUUAUUAUCUUUCUUACAAAAGUCUUAAUGGAAAUAUAUCUUUGUAAUAAUGUCUGUGUAUCAUCUGUAGAUAAAAGUCCCAAUGUUUUUUCGUUAUUUU